AAAAGGAGAUAGAGAAGAAGAGAAAACAAGAAAAGAGAGAAGAGAAGAAAAGGAGAAAAGAAAAAGGGAGAGAGAAGCUCACCGUUCACCACCACCACCACCGCACCGUUUUCGUCUCCUCCGGCCACCACCUCCACUACCACAAGCUUCACAUCUCCAGAUGAAGAUCCACUGCCACCAAAGAUUCUAAUCUACCACCGCCGCAGCUGUUGGUUGCACAGAGAGGAGGAGAGGCCUGGAGAAAAAGAAAGUUGAAGGAGAAGGCACAGAUUCGAGGUGGGGUAUUGUGAGGAAGAUUUCCGUUGCUUUAGAGAGAGUUAAACCGUGAUCAAGGUGUCUCUGGAAAGAACUCGAUGCAACGAAGCCAUAGGAGCAAACGGCAUCGUCAUCGGAGUUACGGUCAGGCCACAACGAAGCUUUCUUCCUGCGCACGAAUCAUAUAUGUCAACCUACAACCCAGAAAUCUGCUUCGAUGCAGCAACUUCAAAGGACAGUAGACGACUCGUCUAAAGUCCGAUCGACCCGAAAUUUUGUGGAGGGCUUCACGGUACAUCUCUUUCCAGUUUCAACGGUGGGAUCAAGAUUCCAACGGUUGAUUGUUGAGUUAUGAGGGCGUUUCCUAGGCAGCUUUGAAGUGUUCUUAAGAAGGGGCGUUCACCAGUUGCAACCGCUUUAACCGCUACAUUCUCCAAGUACUAUUCCAGGUUCUUUUAAAUUAAGGUGAGGACAAGUUUUUGGAUUUCUAAGAUAUAUCAGUUGAUUUAGUAAUGUUUGUAUGCUUAGUGUAGGUAUUAAACAUGAUUGAUGAUUGAUAUUUGAUAAUGGUGAUUGAUAUUUGUUAUUGAUUGAUUAUUAGUGAUAAUUAAUAAUGAGAAGUAUAAUAAUAGGAUUGUAAGUUAUUUAGUCGUUAGUUGAAAUAGAAUUUAUUUUAUUACAAUAUUGUUUGACGGCCUACAACGAAGAACUGAGAUUGUGAAGUUGUAGUGAUCGAUAAAUUGUUUGACGGCUUACAUUGAUGGACUGAAUAUUGUGAAGCUGUAGUGAUCGAAAAAUGACUGACGAGCCAUAGUCAAGCCUUGUUGAAAGUGGUGGCACCGGUAACUUGUCAAGCCCAUAAUAGGUGGUGGCAGAGAAUGAGUACCAUUGACGGAAGUUAUUUGGAAAUGUGUUAUAGAAUCUCUAGAUUGAUUGUUUUGGAUGAUUGAAUGAUUAUAUUUAUUUAGAAAUAUUAGAAUCAUAUAUAUUAUAUAAUAAUAUUAGUUAUUUUAGGUUGAUUGUUGCU
This 1282-nucleotide long non-coding RNA is filed under the name Eutrema salsugineum. RNAcentral describes it as "long non-coding RNA (ESAL_LNC001603)". The record is from RNAcentral. Lineage: Eukaryota; Viridiplantae; Streptophyta; Magnoliopsida; Brassicales; Brassicaceae.